This 440-nucleotide ribosomal RNA is filed under the name uncultured bacterium. RNAcentral's name for it is "partial 16S ribosomal RNA". It matches the Rfam family "Bacterial small subunit ribosomal RNA", at positions 338 to 795 of the family's 1533-position model. The record is from RNAcentral.
CCUACGGGAGGCAGCAGUGGGGGAUAUUGCACAAUGGGGGAAACCCUGAUGCAGCGACGCCGCGUGUGGGAAGACGGUCCUCUGGACUGUAAACCACUGUCCCCAGGGACGAAGAUGACGGUACCUGGGGAGGAAGCUCCGGCUAACUACGUGCCAGCAGCCGCGGUAAUACGUAGGGAGCGAGCGUUGUCCGGAAUUACUGGGUGUAAAGGGAGCGUAGGCGGGACUGCAAGUUGGGUGUCAAAUCUACCGGCUCAACCGGUAGCCGCACUCAAAACUGCAGUUCUUGAGUGAAGUAGAGGCAGGCGGAAUUCCUAGUGUAGCGGUGAAAUGCGUAGAUAUUAGGAGGAACACCAGUGGCGAAGGCGGCCUGCUGGGCUUUUACUGACGCUGAGGCUCGAAAGUGUGGGGAGCAAACAGGAUUAGAUACCCCUGUAGUC